AUGCAAUCAACGAGAUAUAGAUGAACGAAUGAUAAAGAAACAACAGACAUGUAGAGACUACGAUACUGAAUAAAAGAACAGAGGAAGGUAAAACGAUCUCACCGACUACCAGCUCGAAGCACCCACCUGUCACUGUCGCGUCGGAACAAUGAGUGCGCAUGGAGUAUACCGGACCUAAGAAGAUCCACUAAGUCAGUAUCCAACCCGCUAACCUGAAGUACACAACUCACAAACCCCCACACAAGUCCCCGAAUCGGUUUCCCAAAAUCGAUCACCGUAACUCACCGGAAGUCCCGAAAACCACGUCGGGACGCCGUCGGGACCCACUAAGUGUCCCGAAACUCACCGACUCGUGUCACGAGUCACCCGCUGCCAUAAAACACUCCUGUUUGGAUGUCUUGGCAGCGAACACAAGAUAACAUCACUACACAAUUAUCGCCGGAUAAUUGUACGAAUACGGGUUCCCGGAAGCGCCUAUUUCGACACCGGAACCCACCGUCGCUCACCCAUCAUCACUGAACCCACAAAAUGAUGAUAGUGACCAGCCAAUAAGGCUCAGUGACAAUUCACAGGAUAAACAAACCACGUCGGAAGAAAUCCGAACUGAAACGGCGUUCUUUCGGCGAAUUUCGCCGAAAAACGCACCGAAAUCGACUUCUCGAUUUCCGCGAAGGCUAUCAGAUCAUGGACAAUCAGUCCGAA
Molecule: long non-coding RNA, 702 nt
Filed under: Ananas comosus (pineapple)
Lineage: Eukaryota; Viridiplantae; Streptophyta; Magnoliopsida; Poales; Bromeliaceae
Description: long non-coding RNA (ACOM_LNC036700)
Source: RNAcentral